UUGGCUGGCAGUUAAUUUGCAUAUCGCCCUGAUUAGCCAAUGGGAAGGGUAGCGGUCAAACGCUAAUUACCAUGUUUCUCUUUUAUUAUAUAGGAUAAGAAAGUGGUCCAAUUUCAUAUUUUCCAUUUAUCUGUAUAGUUUUGUCAGCACCAAAACUGUCUUUACUCAAUUGUAUAUCCUUGCCUUCUUUGUCAUAGAUUAAUUGACCUUAGAAGCAAGGAAUUUUUUCUGUAUUCUCUAUUCUAUUCCAUGAAUCUGUAUCUUUCUUUUUUUAUGCCAGUAUUUUACUGUUUUGAUUAUUAUAGCUUUGUAGUAUAGUUUGAUAUUGGAGAGCGUAAUACCUCCUACUUUGUUCUUUCUCAAGAUUUCUUUGGCUAUUAAGAAAUUGUUCCAUAUAAAUUUUAGGAUUAGUUCUAAUGCUGAGAAGAAUGCCAUUGGUAUUUUGAUAGGGAUUGCAUAGGAUCUGUAUAUUACUUUAGGUAGCAAGGACAUUUUAACAAUAUUAAUUCUUUCAGUCUAUGAGCAAGGUAUAUCCUUCCAUUUAUUUGUAUUGUUCAGUUACUUUCUUUGGUGUCUUACAGUUUUCAGAGUACAGGUCUUUCACCUCUUUGGGUAAAUUUAAUCCUAGAUAUUGGGGGUUAAAGGGAGACAUAUGUAAUACUUUCAACAAUAAAUAUUUUUUAAAAAUUAUUCCUAGGUAUUUAAUACUUUUAUUUUAAUUUAUUGAUGUUUAGAGAGUGAGAAGGAGACAGAAACAGAGGCGUGGCUGUUGUUGUUGUUCUGCUGAUCUCUGCAUUCACUGCUUGCUGCUGCCAAAAACCAAAAGCGAUUCAGGGAUCCAUCAACAGGAAAAUGGAUAAAACGAACAAAAAGGCAUAUUUCUGCAAUGAAAUACUACACAGUUGAGAAAAAAUUAUAUGCAACAUUGAUGAAUAUCUAAAACAUGGUAAGUGAGGUAAGUUAUUGGAAGAUAUAUAUUCUUUUAAAAAAUGUUUUAAUUUUUAUUAUUUUGAUUGGACAGUAAAAUUAGUGCCCUGCUGUGAGGAAAAAAUUAGCACUUCCUCCUAACCUCCCGCACCCCCCAUUUGUUAGUGUUUUAGGCUGUUUCCUACAUAAGGGAUGGUUCUUUUCUGGCUUCAUUAAGAUAAAAAACUUCUCUCCAAAGACACUAUCAAGAGAAAGAAAAGAGGCAGAGACUGGGAAAAAAUAAUUGCAAAACGCGUAUCUGAUGAAGGACUUGUAUCCAAAAUGUUCAAAGAACUCAAAACUCAUUAAAAAAUAGGCAAAGGGUCCCAAGAAUGCCUCACCAGAGAAGAUACGCAGAUGGCAGAUAGCACAUGAAAAGGUGCUCAGUAUCCCAUGUCACCAGGGGACUGCAAAGUAAAACCGUGAGACACCACUGCUGGCUGUCAGCGGCUAAAGCUCAACACUGCAGCUCCCGGGGCGGAGGGAGGGGCCGCGGGACUCAUUUCAGACGGUGCGGCCCCUUCGGAGGACAGCCGGGCGGUUUCUUAAAAGCUGAGCAUCCUGCACCGCGACCCGGCAGCCACGCUCCUUGGUAGUCACCCCAGCGAGUUGAAAGCAUGUCCACACACAAACCUGCACACGGAUGUUUAGAGAAGCUUUACUCACAGUUGCCAAGACCUGGAGGCAACAAAGGUUUCCAUAUUUUUUAUCAGAAGAAUCUAAGAAAGACACAAGAUGGCGCUAUAACUCCAAGAAAGCACAGGAAUGUAUGUAUGUGAGACACACCUCCUCUCUCUCUCUCUCUCUCUCUCUCUCUCUCUCUCUCUCUCUCUCUCUCUCUCUCUCUCUCUCUCUCUCUCUCUCUCUCUCACACACACACACACACACACACACACACACACACACACACUCAUCCCAGGUUCACCUGACAGCACUCAGCCUUUCAAGACAAUUCAUUGUUCUCACUACCUCCUUCUUGUUGUUUUUUGUUGUUGUUAAUAAAAGUCAACAUGGUAACUGGUU
Myotis myotis is the source of this 1989-nucleotide long non-coding RNA. RefSeq lists it as uncharacterized. The transcript has 2 exons. The record is from RefSeq and is a predicted model, not a curated record. Lineage: Eukaryota; Metazoa; Chordata; Mammalia; Chiroptera; Vespertilionidae.